UUCUUUCAAAGCAGUAUGGAUAUUCCUUAGAAAACUUCCAGUAUUCCAGUAUAGAAUGGAACCACCAUUUGAUUCAGCUACCACAUUCCUUGGUCUAUACCCAAAGGACUUAAACUCAGCAUACUAUAGUGAUGCAGCCACAUCAAGGUUUAUAGCAGCUCAAUUCACAAUAGCUAAAUUGUGGGAGCAAACUCUAUGCCCUUCAGUAAAUGAAUGGAUAAAGAAACUGUGAGAUAUAUACAUGUAUACACACAUAUGCAAGGAAUAUUACUCAGCAUUAAAAGAGAAUAAAAUUUUGCAGGUAAAUGGAUGGAGUUGCAGAAUACCAUGCUAAGUGAAGUAAGCCAAUCCCCAAAAAACCAAAGGCUGAAUGUUUUCUCUGAUAAGUGGAUGCUGAUCCAUAAUGGGGAAUGGGCAUAGGAAGGAUGAAGGAACUUUGGUCAAAGGAGGGAUGAGUGGGGAUAUGGGGGCAGGACAGAUGUUUUGGAAUGAGAUAAAUAUCAUUAACCCAGGUACAUGUAUGUCUGCACAUACGGUGUGAUGUUACAUCAUGUAUGAUCAGACACAUGAAAAGUUGUGCUACAUUUGUGUACAAUAAAUUGAAAUGCAUACUGCUUUUAUGUAUACCUAAUUUGAAUAAAUAAAUUAAAAAGAAAGAAAUUGACCAAACUGUGGUAUGUACAUACAUGAAUGCACCACCAUGUAAUUCACCUUUAUGUAUAUCUAUUA
Molecule: long non-coding RNA, 729 nt
Filed under: Marmota monax (woodchuck)
Lineage: Eukaryota; Metazoa; Chordata; Mammalia; Rodentia; Sciuridae
Source: RNAcentral